Molecule: long non-coding RNA, 480 nt
Organism: Anguilla rostrata (American eel)
Lineage: Eukaryota; Metazoa; Chordata; Actinopteri; Anguilliformes; Anguillidae
Exons: 2
Source: RefSeq, a predicted model, not a curated record
GUCUGGGGUUGGUCACGGUCAGGUCGUCUCCCACAAUCUGGAUGCCCACUGAUGCAGUGAACUGGCUCCAGUGUUCCCAGUCAUCCUGGUCAAAGGGGUCCUCAAUGGACUGCACUGGAUGGGCGAGGCAGGGAUUUCAUUUUCGUCGUGCGUGAAAUUCACCUGCACUUGAAAGCCCCCGAAGAGCCAUCGCCGUUCCUCUUUGUAUGUACCUCUUAACCCACCGAAUCAGCGACCGAGAUCAAGGGGCAGGAAUAACGCGGGCGACCAGCCUAUGAGACGCCGCGGUGAUAAUUCAACUAGCCAAUAAGCCGGUAGAGUGAAACUCGGUCACCUUGACCAUGAAAGAAGCCAUUUCAACCUUUCAGGUGUCUAAGGACAGCGCUGUUUGUUGUUUUUGUAAUAUAGCAUCUAGUUUGUGUAAAAUGAUUGUCUAAUAAAUCAUUUUUCGUUCUUGGUUGCGUCCGAUUGGCGGCUUCU